RNAcentral lists this ribosomal RNA (633 nucleotides) under Triticum aestivum (bread wheat). RNAcentral describes it as "partial small subunit ribosomal RNA". Lineage: Eukaryota; Viridiplantae; Streptophyta; Magnoliopsida; Poales; Poaceae. The record is from RNAcentral.
AUGGCCAAACAAUUCACUGCCUGCAACUGGGCUCGUUCCCGGGUUACUGAAGCUCAACUGGAUGAGAUGGUUAGCAUCGGCUCUCUGCCUAAGAAAACUGAGAUCAAAUGGCGAGCCCCAGGAACUGAGAAUCCUCCAACCCCAAGACAAGGCGAAGUGGUAAUCUUUGUUGACCAUAUAAGCCAUGGUUUCAAACCGCCAGGGUCGAAAUUUUAUCGAGAUGUGCUUGCCAGCUUCCAACUGCAUCCACAAGAUAUUGGUCACAAUUCUAUCUCCAACUUAUGCAAUUUCCAAGUCUUCUGUGAAGCCUAUUUACAGGAAGAACCAACUGCCAAAUUGUUCCGGGAUUUCUUUCACUUAAACCGGCACACAGAGUUUGUGAAUGGCCCGAAUACAGAGCUUGGUGGUAUUUCGAUUCAAAAGCGGAAAGAAGUGGAAUUUCCUCAUGCCAAACACCAUAGCCACCCAAAGGAAUGGAACCAAACAUGGUUCUAUUGCAGAGACACUUCGCCUGAGGAUGAGAAUCCCCUCCCCGGCUUCCGAGAUCAUAGAUUAUCCAAUACUCACCCAAUGCCACAACGCCUGAGCUCCUCAGAAAGGUCAAAAUAUGCUCCUCAAAUCGCCAAGAUCUGA